CUGGAGGUAUCAGAAGUGCGAAUGCUGACAUAAGUAACGAUAAAGCGGGUGAAAAGCCCGCUCGCCGGAAGACCAAGGGUUCCUGUCCAACGUUAAUCGGGGCAGGGUGAGUCGACCCCUAAGGCGAGGCCGAAAGGCGUAGUCGAUGGGAAACAGGUUAAUAUUCCUGUACUUGGUGUUACUGCGAAGGGGGGACGGAGAAGGCUAUGUUGGCCGGGCGACGGUUGUCCCGGUUUAAGCGUGUAGGCUGGUUUUCCAGGCAAAUCCGGAAAAUCAAGGCUGAGGCGUGAUGACGAGGCACUACGGUGCUGAAGCAACAAAUGCCCUGCUUCCAGGAAAAGCCUCUAAGCAUCAGGUAACAUCAAAUCGUACCCCAAACCGACACAGGUGGUCAGGUAGAGAAUACCAAGGCGCUUGAGAGAACUCGGGUGAAGGAACUAGGCAAAAUGGUGCCGUAACUUCGGGAGAAGGCACGCUGAUAUGUAGGUGAGGUCCCUCGCGGAUGGAGCUGAAAUCAGUCGAAGAUACCAGCUGGCUGCAACUGUUUAUUAAAAACACAGCACUGUGCAAACACGAAAGUGGACGUAUACGGUGUGACGCCUGCCCGGUGCCGGAAGGUUAAUUGAUGGGGUCAGCGCAAGCGAAGCUCUUGAUCGAAGCCCCGGUAAACGGCGGCCGUAACUAUAACGGUCCUAAGGUAGCGAAAUUCCUUGUCGGGUAAGUUCCGACCUGCACGAAUGGCGUAAUGAUGGCCAGGCUGUCUCCACCCGAGACUCAGUGAAAUUGAACUCGCUGUGAAGAUGCAGUGUACCCGCGGCAAGACGGAAAGACCCCGUGAACCUUUACUAUAGCUUGACACUGAACAUUGAGCCUUGAUGUGUAGGAUAGGUGGGAGGCUUUGAAGUGUGGACGCCAGUCUGCAUGGAGCCGACCUUGAAAUACCACCCUUUAAUGUUUGAUGUUCUAACGUUGACCCGUAAUCCGGGUUGCGGACAGUGUCUGGUGGGUAGUUUGACUGGGGCGGUCUCCUCCUAAAGAGUAACGGAGGAGCACGAAGGUUGGCUAAUCCUGGUCGGACAUCAGGAGGUUAGUGCAAUGGCAUAAGCCAGCUUGACUGCGAGCGUGACGGCGCGAGCAGGUGCGAAAGCAGGUCAUAGUGAUCCGGUGGUUCUGAAUGGAAGGGCCAUCGCUCAACGGAUAAAAGGUACUCCGGGGAUAACAGGCUGAUACCGCCCAAGAGUUCAUAUCGACGGCGGUGUUUGGCACCUCGAUGUCGGCUCAUCACAUCCUGGGGCUGAAGUAGGUCCCAAGGGUAUGGCUGUUCGCCAUUUAAAGUGGUACGCGAGCUGGGUUUAGAACGUCGUGAGACAGUUCGGUCCCUAUCUGCCGUGGGCGCUGGAGAACUGAGGGGGGCUGCUCCUAGUACGAGAGGACCGGAGUGGACGCAUCACUGGUGUUCGGGUUGUCAUGCCAAUGGCACUGCCCGGUAGCUAAAUGCGGAAGAGAUAAGUGCUGAAAGCAUCUAAGCACGAAACUUGCCCCGAGAUGAGUUCUCCCUGACCCUUUAAGGGUCCUGAAGGAACGUUGAAGACGACGACGUUGAUAGGCCGGGUGUGUAAGCGCAGCGAUGCGUUGAGCUAACCGGUACUAAUGAACCGUGAG
RNAcentral lists this ribosomal RNA (1662 nucleotides) under Escherichia coli. RNAcentral describes it as "partial 23S ribosomal RNA". It matches the Rfam family "Bacterial large subunit ribosomal RNA", at positions 1273 to 2915 of the family's 2925-position model. The record is from RNAcentral. Lineage: Bacteria; Pseudomonadati; Pseudomonadota; Gammaproteobacteria; Enterobacterales; Enterobacteriaceae.